Molecule: long non-coding RNA, 705 nt
Organism: Centruroides sculpturatus (bark scorpion)
Lineage: Eukaryota; Metazoa; Arthropoda; Arachnida; Scorpiones; Buthidae
Exons: 4
Source: RefSeq, a predicted model, not a curated record
CUAGAUAAUUCCUCUGGUAUCCAAUCUAUAUUAGUUCUAUUCAAUUUUAGCCAUCUCAGUCCUGUCAUUUCAGCAACAGCUUUAGGAAAAUAAUCCUCCUGAAAAAGAAAAUUUUGAAUUCCUUUAUUACAAAGUCAUUGUCAUUUUACAAAACAAACUACUGAGCAAUAGUUCAUAGAAGGGUAGAUGAAAUGUUCAUUGGUUCUGUAGAACUAUAUCAUGUGAUGAAAUUGCCCAAUUGUCAAAGCAAAACAGUUACGUGACCAUAAAAAUUGCCUGGGAUGUCGUCGAAAGUGAUAGCAUUGCCUAGUUUGCGACAGCCUUUAAAGACCAGCAUUUCUAGCAAUAGAAGUUUGAAUGAAAUAUAUGAACACUUGCUGCCAAUUUCCUGAUGUACAGUGUAGUAAAUGGUUUCCAAAAUUUAGAAAACAUCUAGCCAAUCAUUAUUAUAAACUUUUGUAAAUUAUGUUCUGAAAUUGAAAUUACUAUGCUCUUUCAAUUGCUGAAUACUGUAAGGAUAACAAUUAAAAGAUAAGAAAGAAUUUAAAUAAAGUUUUAUUUUGAGUUUUAGGGGAUGAGUUACAUUAAACCCCAACUGCUAUCUCAACACUUCCUGGCUAAUACUUCAUUUGCAUAAUGAAUGGAAUUGUAUCCCAUUAAUUUUGGAUUUAAAAAGAAUUAAAAUAUUAACCAUCUCAGUCCUGU